This 27-nucleotide ribosomal RNA is filed under the name Coprosma ernodeoides. RNAcentral describes it as "partial 26S ribosomal RNA". Lineage: Eukaryota; Viridiplantae; Streptophyta; Magnoliopsida; Gentianales; Rubiaceae. The record is from RNAcentral.
CAAGAACCCCGAAAGGGGCCUUCGAAC